CCAGGAUAUACAAGCAAGUGGUUCAUUUUAGCUUGUGUUGGUUAGCAGGUGUAGUUCGCUAGCAGCUAGGCUAGCUUUAGACACUGCCAACAUCAGUGGCUAUGGCUUUUGGGAUUUGUCUCAGUGUGACCUUGCUCCUGUCUGUGUGGACAACUGCAAAAUGUGAUAUUCCCAGUGAAGGUCUCCGUAUG
Etheostoma spectabile (orangethroat darter) is the source of this 191-nucleotide long non-coding RNA. RefSeq lists it as uncharacterized. Lineage: Eukaryota; Metazoa; Chordata; Actinopteri; Perciformes; Percidae. The transcript is spliced from 4 exons. The record is from RefSeq and is a predicted model, not a curated record.